CGGGCAGUAGCUGAGAGGUAGAGCUCCCGCUUCUCAUGUGGGAAGACCUGGGUUCGAUUCCCGGCUGCUUCC
This is a transfer RNA of Toxocara canis (dog roundworm), 72 nucleotides long. It matches the Rfam family "tRNA". Rfam says of the family: Transfer RNA (tRNA) molecules are approximately 80 nucleotides in length. Their secondary structure includes four short double-helical elements and three loops (D, anti-codon, and T loops). The record is from Rfam. Lineage: Eukaryota; Metazoa; Nematoda; Chromadorea; Rhabditida; Toxocaridae.